AUUCACAUGUGACAACCUACCAGCGCUUGUCAGUGCUCUUCAGAUAACUUGCCAUGGGCUAUAAGGCCCUUCGACACCAGGUUCUGCAAACACCUCCCUGACCACUGGCCUUCCAGAAGCAGGUCAACUUUUUCCUGCCUCCGGGCCUUUGCACUUGCUGGUCCCACUCCCCACAACAACAUUCCAUUAGCUCUUCACAUGCCUGGCUCUUUCUCGGCCCUCAGGUCUCAGCUGGAGUGUCAUCUUCUCAGGAAGACCUCCCCUGACUGCCCUAUCUAAAUCAGAUUCCCUUUUUCACCCUCUGCUAUAGGCCUUUUUCCAUUCCAUCUAAAUGCUUAACAACAUAUUCACUCAUUCACUCUUUCAUUUAUAUGAUUGUCUGUCUACCACACCAACAUGUAAGCUCCGUGAGAAUAUGAACCCUGUUCCUCUUGCCCACUGCCGCCCCUGCUGCAUCCCACGUGGGGCCCCGCACCUGUAGGCACACAGAGAAUAUUUGUUGAGUAAUAAAUAACACUGUUGCCCUUGCCCAGUCUCCAGGGGUAUUUGGAAUCCAGCUCUCCUUGGAAACAGCAAGACGGACAUAACAGCCGCUCAAUGGCCUCCUGAGCCUCAUCAGAGGAGGAAUGCGUCACAGUCCACCCUUUCUGUGCCCUGGAGCCUGACCUCUGCAGGACAGUGUCACACAGCACUUUUACUGUCUGGCUUCUGGAGGAUUUCAGCCAAUGGGAAGAUGCAGCAGGAGAUCGGCCUGUUCCCUUCCGGGACACGGACAAAUGCCAGGUCCUGCUAUCUGCCACGCCGUCCUGUCGGGCCUCAUGGAGCUGACACAUGGAGGAAGGCAGCCAACAGACAAACAGAACGGAUCCUAGGUCAAAGCAGUGAGAGCCAUGAAUGGGGGAGCACACGGAUGAAAGAAUGGAUGAAUGUCAUCACUUGGGUGUCACAACUAGACUUUAGAGAUGGUCUGGUCUAAGCCCCCUACUCUACAAAUGAAAGAAGGGGGACCCUGAGAGGGAUGCUCAAGGUCUCACAGUGAUGGAGAAGCAAGCUCAUCGAAGUUCUGCGACUUGCCUAGUACAGCGGGAGGAUUCAACUCAGACUUGUCUAACAGGAAAGCCUGGGUUCUUGCCCCAUAAGCCCCACAGACUCCUGCCAGGGGGCUUCCGGGAAUCGGGAAUCGGCCAGCCCACCAGCCCACUCUCCCAACUGGUGCAAGCAGGAAGACUCUCCAAAGCAUCCUCACGAUUAUCCUUUCGCUGGAUCCUCCUUCUGGGACGGAGGCAGGGGCGGGGCGAUGCACAAGACAGGAGUUAACAAACAAAAGAAAAAAGAAGUCCACCAGUUUAGAGGAGACCAAAGGCACAGAGCCAGGAUGCGAGCACUGUGUAGCGUUUCUAUCUUGCCAGGCUUCCUCACUGCCCCCAGAGGUCCACCUUUGAGCAGGAGAGCCCUGUUCCAUCCCUGUCCACGAGGGGGAAACUGAGGCAUGGGUGUGGCAGGACCUGGAAUAGAAACGUGGCUGUCACCUUCAAGACACUCCUAAGGAACGGUGUUCUUCAUUCCUGGAUUCGCUGGCACGGCCGCGUGUGUUAGGAGCUGGCAUGGAGAGAAAAUGACUUCUGGGAGGGGACCCAGGGCCUUCAACAAUCUGGAAGAGAGGCUGGUUUUCAUUCUUAUUUUCAAAUAGCAAAUAACUGGCCUAAAGACACAGAGCUAGCAACUGAGAGAAUGGGAAUUAUUAGCCAGGCCCGGGUUACUCCAAAGCCUUCUCACCAGUUUCGGGGCUGGUGGCUACCCCAACUUCGGCACCUAUCCACAAGCCCUGCACACACGUCCUCCCCCGCAGGCCCUGUCCCUCCCUGCCCAGGUCUCCCCGAGGGAAAUCCUUCACUCCCUUCCGGGCCUGCCCCUCGGCUGUGCUCUCACGUAGUAAAUGUUCCUGGACACCACUGUGUCCCAGGCGCUGUUCUAGGUACUAGGGACGUGGCAGGGUCACACAAGACAGAAAAAAAUCUUUGCUGUCAUGAACUUUAUGGAGGAAGGGGCGGGGACAGACAUAAAAGAAGUAAACAAAUAAAAAAGAUAAGCCCAGAAAGCGA
This is a long non-coding RNA of Hyaena hyaena (striped hyena), 2102 nucleotides long. RefSeq lists it as uncharacterized. The record is from RefSeq and is a predicted model, not a curated record. Lineage: Eukaryota; Metazoa; Chordata; Mammalia; Carnivora; Hyaenidae. The transcript is spliced from 5 exons.